RNAcentral lists this ribosomal RNA (408 nucleotides) under uncultured bacterium. Its description in RNAcentral is "bacterial SSU rRNA". It matches the Rfam family "Bacterial small subunit ribosomal RNA", at positions 355 to 776 of the family's 1533-position model. The record is from RNAcentral.
ACGAGAAUAUUCCGCAAUGGGCGAAAGCCUGACGGAGCGACGCCGCGUGAUUGAUGAAGUGCUUCGGUACGUAAAGAUCUUUUAUCGGGGACGAAGUUUAUUGACGGUACCCGAUGAAUAAGGGGCUCCUAACUCUGUGCCAGCAGGAGCGGUAAUACAGAGGCCCCAAGCAUUACCCGGAAUCACUGGGCGUAAAGGGUGUCUAGGCGGCCAUAUUAGUCGUUCGUUAAAUCCGCGGGCUCAACCUGCGGGCUGCGAGCGAAACGGUAUGGCUCGAGGGCGUGAGAGGUGCACGGAACUCAUGGUGGAGGGGUGAAAUCCGUUGAUAUCAUGGGGAACACCAAAGGCGAAGGCAGUGCACUGGUACGUUCCUGACGCUCAAACACGAAAGCCAGGGUAGCGAACGGG